This 237-nucleotide non-coding RNA is filed under the name Thermobaculum terrenum. RNAcentral describes it as "T-box sequence". It matches the Rfam family "T-box leader". Rfam says of the family: Uncharged tRNA acts as the effector for transcription antitermination of genes in the T-box leader family. T-boxes are found upstream of many aminoacyl-tRNA synthetase genes and some amino acid biosynthetic genes usually in Gram-positive bacteria. Lineage: Bacteria; Bacillati; Chloroflexota; Chloroflexia; Thermobaculales (SeqCode); Thermobaculaceae (SeqCode). The record is from RNAcentral.
GUAAAGGCUGUGAGCAGGACAAGUACGCUUGUCAAGCAACUGACAGAGAGUGAGGGUCAACGGCUGAAAGCCCUCUAGUUGGCUCCAAGCGGAAAACCACCUGUGAGCCGGCGCCCGAAAGCGAAGGCAGGCAAGUAAGGUGUCCCGGAGUUUCCGUUAUAACUAAUGAGGGGAAAACUAAUUGUUGUUUUCCCGAAUUCGGGUGGAACCACGGAAGGGUGCCCUUUCGUCCCGUUU